Molecule: ribosomal RNA, 252 nt
Filed under: uncultured bacterium
Lineage: Bacteria
Description: partial 16S ribosomal RNA
Rfam family: Bacterial small subunit ribosomal RNA
Source: RNAcentral
UACGUAGGUCCCGAGCGUUGUCCGGAUUUAUUGGGCGUAAAGCGAGCGCAGGUGGUUUAUUAAGUCUGGUGUAAAAGGCAGUGGCUCAACCAUUGUAUGCAUUGGAAACUGGUAGACUUGAGUGCAGGAGAGGAGAGUGGAAUUCCAUGUGUAGCGGUGAAAUGCGUAGAUAUAUGGAGGAACACCGGUGGCGAAAUCGGCUCUCUGGCCUGUAACUGACACUGAGGCUCGAAAGCGUGGGGAGCAAACAGG